Molecule: long non-coding RNA, 7026 nt
Filed under: Homo sapiens (human)
Lineage: Eukaryota; Metazoa; Chordata; Mammalia; Primates; Hominidae
Description: HSALNT0289568
Source: RNAcentral
GCGGGUGUUCGGCUACAUCACUGGGGCGCCAUGGUGCCUGGAGCUGGGCAGUUUUCUCAUCAGAGUGGGGACUGAUGAUGAUUAUUCCCCACCUUCUAAGAGACAAAGACCAACGAGCCACCACAGCCACCAGUCCCAGAACCCGCCAAUGCUGGGGAACGGAAAAUGAGGGAGUUCAACUCUGGCCCUCACAAUCCAGUGGAGGAGACGCAACUCAUCUGCCUCUGUCCCUCUGGGCACGCCUCAUGCCAGGUGCAUCUGUGGACAGGGGCCAUGCUCCUGGGCUUCCAAAGUUGGAGAAAGCUGCCAGGCUCAGGUCUGAAGGCCAGAAUUCUACAGUAAGUCCUACUGAGUCAAGGUGGGAGCAGGGUCGGUAGCUUCCGAGGCUCUGCGGGAGAAUCUGUUUCCUGGCCGUAGAGGUGGCCUGCACUCCUCAGCCUGUGCUGCCCGUCUCGAAUGACUGGAGUUUCCUGCUUCUGUCACUACACCUCCCACCCUCUCCAUCACCUGCUCUGCUCUUACAAGGAUCCGAAGAAAUGGAAUCAUCGUAUCGCUGAUCUACGUAAACAAACUGAAGAAUUGUCUGAAAGAAAAUAUGACAUGAACUUAUGAAUUCAACAGGUGAAGAUUUACAACUUGAUAAAUCAACUUUGUCAGCUCGAGCUGUAAAAGCCAAAGGUCCGGUGAUGAUCCCAUACCCUUUUUUCCAGUCUCAUGUUGAAGAUUUUUAUGUAGAAGGCCUUCCCAAAGGAAUUUUUUUUUUUUUUUUUUGAGAUGGAGUUUUCACUCUUAUCGCCCAGGCUGGGGUGCAAUGGCGCAACCUUGCUGGUCACUGCAACCUCUGCCUCCUGGGUUCAAGAAAUUCUCCUGCCUUAGCCUCCCAAGUCACUGGGAUUACAGGUGCCCACCACCACACCAGGCUAAUUUUUGUAUUUUUAGUGGAGAUGCGGUUUCACCAUGUUGGCCGGGCCAGUCUCGAACUCCUGACGUCAAGUGAUCUUCCCGCCUCGACUCCUGAUAUCAAGUGAUCUUCCCGCCUCGGCCUCCCAGAGUGCUGAGAUUACAGACGUGAACCCAUGCCUGGCCAGGAAUUUUGUUUUUUAGGAAGGCUUUCUACUAAUGGAAUUCCUGGCCUUGAGAGGAUGUUACUUUAGAAGGAAAGGAUUUUUUUGUUAUUAAAAGAGCCACCUAAGCUGAAGAUUCCCUUGAGAACAAGUACUGUCCCUAGUUUCCCAGUGCUGGAAUAUAGAAAAUGGAUGGACAACUGGACCUACCAUGAAAGACUUCUGAAUCCAGGAAGAGAAACUGACUGGGCAACAUGUUAUUCAGACUUCUGACCAAAUGUGUGUGCAGAGUUUCUACACCAGUUCUCCAACUCUCUGGAUACCAACCGCGUAUCCCACAAUUCCAUUCUGACACUACCUAGAGUUAGCACAGAACCCACAGGUUAGGGGCUCAGUCCCACAAGACCACCCUCACUUCAGAUGCCAGUUGCAAGUCCUAGGUUGUCACCUGUAUUUUGACCAACCAGUUAGAAAUCAGGGUUUCCCAUGACCCUCUUGUUGAGUUUAAUUAUUUACUAGAACAACUCACAGAACUUAGAAAAACAAGUUUUUUUUUCUUUUCUUUUUAAGAGACAGGGCCUCGCUCUGUUGUCCAAGCUGGUGUGCAGUGGUGCAAUCAUAGCUCAUUGAAGCCUCAACGUCCAGAGCUCAAGUGAUUCUCCUGCUUCAGCCUCUCAAGUAGCUGGAAUUACAGGGUUCCCACCACCACAUUUGGCUAAUUUCUUUUAUUUUUUGUAUAGAUGGGGUCUUCUUAUGUUGCCCAGGUUGGUCUCAAAUUCCUAGGCUCAAGUGAUUCCGCCCACCUCUGCCUCCCAAAGUGCUGGGAUUACGGGCAUGAGCCAGCGCAUCUGGCCACCUUAUUUUCUAUUACUGGCUCAAUGUAAUGGCUCCAUCUCAGGAACAGCCAAUGAAAGAGAUGCACAGGACAAGAGAUGGCAUCUUGCUCUGUUGCUUAGGCUACAGUACAGUGACAUGAUCAUGGUUCACUGUAGCCUCAAACUCCUGGGCUCAAGUGGUUCUCUCACUUCAGUCUCCCAAGUAGCUGGGACUACAGACAUGUGCCACCAUGUCCAGGUAAUUUUUUAUCAUAGAGACGAGAUCUUGCCAUGUUGCUCCGACUGGGCUCAAAACUCCUGACCUCAAGUGAUCCUCCUGCCUCAGCCUCCCAAAGUGCUGGGAUUACAGGCAGGCAUGACCACCUGUGCCCAGCCCCCUAUUAUUAUUAUUUUAAAUAAUAGCUUUAUUAAAAUAUUCACAUACCAUUCACUUUAUUUAUUGAAAUCUGCAAUUCAGUAGGUUUUAGAAUAUUCACAGAGCUGUGCAUCGAUCACCACAGUCACUUUUAGAACCUUUCAUUACCCUAUAGAGAAAUCCAUACCCCUUAGCCACUACCUCCUACUCUCCCCACCUACCUUUGCCCCCAGCCUUAGGCAACCAUUGAUUAAUUUUUUUGUCACUAUAGAUUUGCCUAAUCUGGACAAAUAGAAUUGUACAAUAUGUGAUCUUUUGUGGCUUUUCUUCCCUCUUAGCACAGUGUUUUCAAAGUUCCUUUAUGUCAUAGUGUGUAUCAAUAUUUCAUUCCUUCUAUGGCAGUAUUCCAUGGUAGAGACACACUGCAUUUUGUUUAUCUGUUCAUCAGUUGGUGGAUAUUUGGGUUGUUUCCAUGUAUUCCAUGUAUUGGUCAUUAUGAAUAAUGCUGCUAUGAAGAUUGUUGUACAAGUUUUUGUGUGGACAUAUAUUUUUAUUUUUCUGGGAUAUAUGCCUAGGAGUGAAAUUGUUGCAUUAUAGGAUGACUGUACAUUUAGCCUUUUGAGAAACUGCCAGACUGUUUUCUAACGUGGCUAUACCAGUUGGGUGCAAUGGCUCACACCUGUAAUCCCAGCUACUCAGGAGGCUCAGCUAGGAGGAUGGCUUGAGCCCGUGAAUUCAAGACCAGCCUGGGCAAGAUAGUGAAACCCCGUCUUGAUUUUUUAAAAAUCCAAUUAAAAUGACAAGAAAAGAAAUACCCAAACAAAAUGGUUACACAAUUUUAUGUUCCCACCAGUAAUGUAUGUGGGUUCCAAUUCCUCCACAUCUUCACUGACAUUUUUUUUUUCUAGAUAGGGGCUUGCUCUGUCUCUCAGGCCGCAGUGCAAUGAUGCCAUCACAGUUCACUGCAGCCGUGACCUCCCAGGCACAAGUGAUUCUCUCAUCUCAGCCUCCUGGGUAGCUGAAAAUUACAGGUGUACGCCACCAUGCCUGGCUAAUUUUUAGAUUUUUCUGUAGUGGUGGGAUUUUACCAUGUUGCCCAGGCUGGUCUCAUACUCCUGGCCUCAAGUGAUCUGCCCACCUCAGCCUCCCUAAGUUCUGGAAUUACAGGCUGCCACCAUGCCCGGCCUUCACCAACAUUUGCCAUUAUCUGUUUUUUUUUUCUUCCUUUAUACCUUAAAGCAGUAUAAGAACAAGUGUCUUCAAUUAUAGGAAACAGUAUAAUCCCAGGGCUUUGGGAGGCUAAGACAGGAAGAUGUCUUGAUGCCAGGAGUUUUUUUUGUUGUUGUUGUUUUUGUUUUUGUUAUUGUUGUUGUUGUUUUUGACAGUCUCGCUCUGUCACCCAGGGUGGAGUGCAGUGAUGGGGUCCACUGCAACCUCCACCUCCCAGGUUCAAGUGAUUCUCCUGCCUCAGCCUCCCGAGUAGGUGAGACUACAGGUACACGCCACUACUGCCCAGCUAAUUUUUGUAUUUUUGAUAGAGUCAGAGUUUCACCGUGUUGGCCAGGCUGGUCUCGAACUCCAGACUUCAGGUGAUUUGCCUGCCUUAGCUUCCCAAAGUGCUGCGAUUACAAGCAUGAGCCACCAUGCCCAGCCUGAUGCCAGGAGUUUUAGACUAGCCUGGGCAACCUAGCAAGACCUUGUCUCUACAGAAUAUUUAAAAAUUAGCCAAAUGUGGUGGUGCCUGUGUAUAGUCUCUCUCCCUCUUUUUUUUUUCUAACUUUUUGUGACAUGGUCUGGCUCUGUCACCCAGGCUGAAGUGCAGUGGUGUGAUCAUGGCUCACUGCAGCCUGAAACUCCUGGGAUCAAGUGAUCAAUCCUCCCACCUCAUCCUACCAAGUAGUAGGGACCACAGGUGUAUGCCACCCAGGUCUUGCUAUGUUGUCCAGGCUGGUCUUGAGCUCCUGGCCUCAAGCAAUCCUCUCACCUUGGCCCCCCACAGUGCAAGGAUUACAGGUAUGAGCCACCAUGCCUGGCCCCCUACCCUGCCUACUGAGAACCAAAGGAAGGAUCCAAAUUCUCCUUAGCUCAACUCGAGCCAUUUCCUGAUUGCUUCAUCAGCGAGGAGCUGGUUAUUGGGCUGUCCAGGCCUCCCAAGCAGCACAGAAAUGAGGUGAAGGAGUUUUCCUGUUGCUCCACUCUGUAAGGAGUUGGAGGGUGAUGUUUACUCGUUUGCAGAGAGAGAUGCCUUGUAGGCACCUCAGGAUGGAGAGGGUCCUGAUUCCAAUGUCCUUUUUUUCUUCAGAAACAGGACCUUGCCCUGUCACUCAGGAUGGAGUUCAGUGGUCCUAUCAUGGCUCAUUAUAGCCUCAAACUCCCAGGCUCAAGCAAUCCUACCAUGUCAGCCUUCCCAGUAGCUGGGACUACAGCUGGAUCUACCAUGAAAGACUUGUGAAUCCAGGAAGAGAGACUGACUGGGCAACAUGUUAUUCAGGUACAAAAAGAUUUGGACUGUAACUUAAAAAUGAUCAAAUUAUGUUUCCCAUGCAUCAGGUGCAAUGGGAAGCUCUUCUGGAGAGUGAGAGAAGCUUCCAGUUAAGGUGACAUUGAAGCCAAGUCCUGAAAGAUGAGGAAGAGUUGUAUGAGAGUGGGGAGGGAAGGGGGAGGUGGAGGGAUGGGGAAUGGGCCGGGAUGGGAUAGCGCAAACUGCCCGGGAAGGGAAACCAGCACUGUACAGACCUGAACAACGAAGAUGGCAUAUUUUGUUCAGGGAAUGGUGAAUUAAGUGUGGCAGGAAUGCUUUGUAGACACAGUAAUUUGCUUGUAUGGAAUUUUGCCUGAGAGACCUCAUUGCAGUUUCUGAUUUUUUGAUGUCUUCAUCCAUCACUGUCCUUGUCAAAUAGUUUGGAACAGGUAUAAUGAUCACAAUAACCCCAAGCAUAAUAUUUCGUUAAUUCUCACAGAAUCACAUAUAGGUGCCACAGUUAUCCCCAUUUUAUGAAUGGAGUGAUGAAAACCUUAGGAAUAAUGAAUGAUUUGCGCAGGCUCACCUGGAUAUUAAGACUGAGUCAAAUGUUGGGUCUGGUCUGACUUUAAUGUUUGCUUUGUUCAUGAGCACCACAUAUUGCCUCUCCUAUGCAGUUAAGCAGGUAGGUGACAGAAAAGCCCAUGUUUGUCUCUACUCACACACUUCCGACUGAAUGUAUGUAUGGAGUUUCUACACCAGAUUCUUCAGUGCUCUGGAUAUUAACUGGGUAUCCCAUGACUUUAUUCUGACACUACCUGGAGUUAGCACAGACCCCACAAGUUAGGGGCUCAGUCCCACGAGGCCAUCCUCACUUCAGAUGACAAUGGCAAGUCCUAAGUUGUCACCAUACUUUUGACCAACCUGUUACCAAUCGGGGGUUCCCGUAACUGUCUUCUUGGGUUUAAUAAUUUGCUAGAACAGUUUACGGAACUCAGAAAAACAGUUUAUUUUCUUUUUUUCUGAGAGAGAGGGUCUUAUUUUGUUGCCCAGGCUGGUGUGCAAUGGUGCAGUCAUAGCUCAUUGCAGCCUUGAUUGUCUGGGUUCCAGUGGUUCUCCCACCUCAGCCUCCCUAGUAGCUGAGACUACAUGCCUGCACCACCACAUCUGGCUAGUUUCUUUUAUUUUUUGUAUAGAUGGGGUCUUGUUGUGUUGGCCAGGCUGGCCACAAAUUCCUGGUCUCAAGUGAUCCUCCCACCUCAGCCUCUGAAAGUGCUGGGAUUACAGAUGUGAGCCACCACAUCUGGCCAGUUCAUUUCCUAUUACUGGUUCAUUGUGAAGGAUACAUCUCAGAAACAGUCAAUGAAAGAGACGUGCAUGCUGGAUGCAGUGGCUCAUGCCUGUAAUCUCAGCACUUUGGGAGGCCAAGGUGGGAGGAUCGCUUAAACUCAGGAGUUUGAGACCAGCCUGGGCAACAUGGUGAAAACCUGUCUCUAUAAAAAAUUAAAAAAUAAUAAUAAUAACUGGUGUGGUGUUGUGCACCUAGAGUUCCAACUACUAGGGAAGCUGAGAUGAGAGGAUACCUUGAGCUGGGGACUGGGGAGGCUUAGGUUACAGUAAGCUGAGAUUGUGCCACUGCACUCCAGCUUGGACAAAAGAGCCUGAUCCUGUCUCAAAAAAAAGAAAGAUACCCAGGGCAAGUUAAGUUCGGAGGGGCACAGAGCUCCCAUGCCCUCUGUUGAACAUGCGACCCUCCCAGCAUCUCCUGUGUCCAGCAACCCUGAAAGCUCUGCAAACCCCUUUCAGGGUGUUUAUGGAGGCUUUAUUAUGCAAGCAUGAUUGAUAAAACCUUUGGCUGUUGGUGAUUAAGUCAGUCUCCAGCCCCUCUUCCCCCUGGAGUUCAGUGCAUGAGGCUGAAAGUUCCAAGCCUCUUACCAUGUGGUUGCAUGGUAAUCAGCCCUCCUCUUGAAGAAAUUUAGGAGCUUGCAGUCACCCAGUCAUCUCAACAACAUCCCCAAAUGCAUUCUUACCAUGCUGGAGAUCCCAAAGUUCUUAGAGGCUCUUGUGUUAGAAACCUGGGACCAAGAUCAAAUAUUAAAACAAAAGAUGCUCCUGUCACAUCUAUCACUGAGGUCUUUGUAAGAGCUUUAGAAGCUCUGUGCCAGGAACCAGGGACAGAGAUUAAAUAUAUAUUUCUUUUCUUUUUUUUGAGACAGAAUCUCCCUGUGCCAUCCAGGCUGGAGUGCAGUGAUGUGAUCAUAGCUCACUAUAGCUUUGGCCUUCUGAGAUCAAGCAAUCCUCCCAUCUCAA